UACGGAAGGUCCGGGCGUUAUCCGGAUUUAUUGGGUUUAAAGGGAGCGUAGGCUGGAGAUUAAGCGUGUUGUGAAAUGUAGAUGCUCAACAUCUGCACUGCAGCGCGAACUGGUUUCCUUGAGUACGCACAAAGUGGGCGGAAUUCGUGGUGUAGCGGUGAAAUGCUUAGAUAUCACGAAGAACUCCGAUUGCGAAGGCAGCUCACUGGAGCGCAACUGACGCUGAAGCUCGAAAGUGCGGGUAUCGAACAGG
RNAcentral lists this ribosomal RNA (253 nucleotides) under Segatella copri DSM 18205. RNAcentral's name for it is "Prevotella copri DSM 18205 partial 16S ribosomal RNA". It matches the Rfam family "Bacterial small subunit ribosomal RNA", at positions 524 to 776 of the family's 1533-position model. Lineage: Bacteria; Pseudomonadati; Bacteroidota; Bacteroidia; Bacteroidales; Prevotellaceae. The record is from RNAcentral.